Molecule: ribosomal RNA, 309 nt
Filed under: uncultured bacterium
Lineage: Bacteria
Description: bacterial SSU rRNA
Rfam family: Bacterial small subunit ribosomal RNA
Source: RNAcentral
AGUAAAUAGAUACCCCGGUAGUCCACGCCGUAAACGAUGUCGACUUGGAGGUCGUGCCCUUGAGGCGUGGCUUCCGGAGCUAAACGCGUUAAAGUCGACCGCCUGGGGAGUACGGCCGCAAGGUUAAAACUCAAAUGAAUUGACGGGGGCCCGCACAAGCGGUGGAGCAUGUGGUUUAAUUCGAUGCAACGCGAAGAACCUUACCUACUCUUGACAUCCAGAGAACUUAGCAGAGAUGCUUUGGUGCCUUCGGGAACUCUGAGACAGGUGCUGCAUGGCUGUCGUCAGCUCGUGUUGUGAAAUGUUGGG